RNAcentral lists this ribosomal RNA (468 nucleotides) under uncultured bacterium. RNAcentral describes it as "partial 16S ribosomal RNA". It matches the Rfam family "Bacterial small subunit ribosomal RNA", at positions 29 to 507 of the family's 1533-position model. The record is from RNAcentral.
ACGAACGCUGGCGGCGUGCUUAACACAUGCAAGUCGAACGGUGAAGCGAGUGCUUGCACUCGUGGAUCAGUGGCGAACGGGUGAGUAACACGUGAGUAACCUGCCCAUCACUCUGGGAUAAGCACUGGAAACGGUGUCUAAUACUGGAUACGACCAACCCUUGCAUGGGGUGUUGGUGGAAAGAUUUAUCGGUGAUGGAUGGACUCGCGGCCUAUCAGCUUGUUGGCGGGGUAAUGGCCCACCAAGGCGACGACGGGUAGCCGGCCUGAGAGGGUGACCGGCCACACUGGGACUGAGACACGGCCCAGACUCCUACGGGAGGCAGCAGUGGGGAAUAUUGCACAAUGGGCGAAAGCCUGAUGCAGCGACGCCGCGUGAGGGAUGACGGCCUUCGGGUUGUAAACCUCUUUCAGCAGGGAAGAAGCGAAAGUGACGGUACCUGCAGAAGGAGCACCGGCUAACUACGUG